Molecule: transfer RNA, 63 nt
Filed under: Cichlidogyrus halli
Lineage: Eukaryota; Metazoa; Platyhelminthes; Monogenea; Dactylogyridea; Ancyrocephalidae
Description: tRNA-Cys
Source: RNAcentral
GGAAGGGUGCUUAUAAGCGUUAUACUUUGCAAAAGUCUAAAAGAGGUUUAAUCUCCCCUUUCU